This 317-nucleotide unclassified non-coding RNA is filed under the name uncultured Thelephora. RNAcentral describes it as "sequence contains ITS2". The record is from RNAcentral. Lineage: Eukaryota; Fungi; Basidiomycota; Agaricomycetes; Thelephorales; Thelephoraceae.
AACGCACCUUGCGCCCCUUGGAUAUUCUGAGGGGCAUGCCUGUUUGAGUAUCAUGAACACCUCAACUCCUCAUGGUUUGCCGUGAUGAGCUUGGACUUUUGGAGGUUUUGCUGGCCCUGCUGUCGGCUCCUCUCAAAUGGAUCAGCUUGCCAGUGUUUGGUGGCGUCAUGGGUGUGAUAACUAUCUACGCUUGUGGCCGUCUGCCAGGUAACCUUCAGCAACGGAGGUUCGCUGGAGCUCACAAAAGUCUUUCCUCAGUGAAGACAGCUUUUUGAACGUUCGAUCUCAAAUCAGGUAGGAUUACCCGCUGAACUUAA